UAACACGUGGGUAACCUGCCUUAUAGUGGGGGAUAGCCUUUCGAAAGGAAGAUUAAUACCGCAUAAGAUUGUAGUAUCGCAUGAUAUAGCAAUUAAAGGAGCAAUUCGCUAUAAGACGGACCCGCGUCGCAUUAGCUAGUUGGUGAGGUAAUGGCUCACCAAGGCGACGAUGCGUAGCCGACCUGAGAGGGUGAUCGGCCACAUUGGGACUGAGACACGGCCCAGACUCCUACGGGAGGCAGCAUG
Molecule: ribosomal RNA, 246 nt
Filed under: uncultured bacterium
Lineage: Bacteria
Description: partial 16S ribosomal RNA
Rfam family: Bacterial small subunit ribosomal RNA
Source: RNAcentral